ACCGGCGGCCCGAGUGGUGAUCGUGAUUAUUGGGUCUAAAGGGUCCGUAGCCGGUUUGGUCAGUCCUCCGGGAAAUCUGAUAGCUCAACUAUUAGGGCUUCGGGGGGAUACUGCCAGACUUGGAACCGGGAGAGGUAAGAGGUACUACAGGGGUAGGAGUGAAAUCUUGUAAUCCCUGUGGGACCACCUGUGGCGAAGGCGUCUUACCAGAACGGGUUCGACGGUGAGGGACGAAAGCUGGGGGCACGAACCGGAUUAGAUACCCGGGUAGUCCCAGCCGUAAACGAUGCUCGCUAGGUGUCAGGCAUGGCCGCGACCGUGUCUGGUGCCGCAGGGAAGCCGUGAAGCGAGCCACCUGGGAAGUACGGCCGCAAGGCUGAAACUUAAAGGAAUUGGCGGGGGAGCACAACAACGGGUGGAAGCCUGCGGUUUAAUUGGACUCAACGCCGGACAACUCACCGGGGGCGACAGCAAUAUGUAGGCCAAGCUGAAGACUUUGCCUGAAUCGCUGAGGGGUGGUGCAUGG
RNAcentral lists this ribosomal RNA (526 nucleotides) under uncultured archaeon. RNAcentral's name for it is "bacterial SSU rRNA". It matches the Rfam family "Archaeal small subunit ribosomal RNA", at positions 475 to 997 of the family's 1478-position model. The record is from RNAcentral.